CACGGAGUUAGCCGGGGCCUAUUCUCCAGGUACCGUCAUCAUCGUCCCUGGCAAAAGAGCUUUACAACCCGAAGGCCGUCAUCCCUCACGCAGCGUUGCUGGAUCAGGCUUCCGCCCAUUGUCCAAUAUUCCCCA
RNAcentral lists this ribosomal RNA (135 nucleotides) under uncultured bacterium. RNAcentral describes it as "partial 16S ribosomal RNA". The record is from RNAcentral.